GGCAAGGAUAAGCCUGACAUGGGAGUGACCUGGAUAGACUCCUGUCCUUGCACAGUCUCUGUGAGUCACUGUCUGUGAGGUGAAAGCACUAAAACUCAAACUGCUGCAGCCAUUGUGAAAUAGCUUCCCUUGGAACUCAGUAAAAGGAAGUGUGUGUGGGCAUAUGGAUGUGGGAGCUGGUUAUUGCAGGACAAGCAGGGACACCCUCCUCACAAAGGAGGUGACUGUCCCCACUCUGUUCUGCGUGGGGGCAGCCUCACCUCGCAUCCUGGGGGCAGUUUUGGGCACAGCAAUGUAAGAAAGGUCUGAAGCCAUUAGAGAGCUUCCAAAGGAGGGACAUGAAGAUGGGGAGCAGUCUGGAGGAGCCACAUGAGUAGCAACUGAGGACAAUUAGAAUGUUCAGCUGGGGCAGAGGUUCCUUCCAGCUCAGGAUAUUCCACAAUUCUCCAUAACCUCACACAGAGGUCUGGGUUGGCUCUGUCCUCAGCAAACCCUGCAGGAGCUCACUCAGGUGUAUCCCUGUCCUGCGAGCACCUUGUCAGGGUUGUUCAAUCAGUGCCUGUGUGAGUAGCACGGGACUUCUGCAGUCAGCAGGGAAAACUACCUCUGGAAAACAGAUCAAGCUGCCAUUCAUCUCAACGGGCUCCUUUCAACUUCCCACUCUGGGAUGAACUCUCAGGUACCUGUUAAGUCUUUCAUCAGCAGGUGUUUGUGAAAAUGGCUCAGGUGGGGGUAAUUUAGAUCUCUCCUGGUUAAAUCCCAGCUCUCUUUAGGAAACCUAUUGUAGGAAAUCUGGUAUAAUAUAUUUUUCCCCCUUAAAAAUCACAUUUGCCUUUUGAGGAGAAACCAGCAGGGGCAGGGCUUGUGCUGCAGAGAUGUGAAAGAUGGGAUAAAAGAAAGAAUGGAAGAACAUUAUCUUUUUUUUCCUCCCUGACAGAAUUCCUGACACAACUGAUCCCUGAGGAUUUGGGAUAGAAAGAACAGAGGAUAAGAGCAAUCAGGCUCACUUCUCAUUGUCGUAGUAGAGCUUCCCAAUGGCCCAGGCAACGAUGAUGGGAAAGGGGAUACCUGCAGGGGAACACACAGGGUCCUCACACCCCCUGACUGCUCAGGACUGGGCUCAGCCUGGAAGAGCUGCACCUACCACGUUGCUCUCGUGCACCUCUGGGUUCAUGGUGAGCUGCACCACGAACCACGUGGCGUUGCGUAGGAUGAAGGCUGUGAUCAGGUUCCAGUGGAUGAUGUUUCUCAGGCACCGGAUGCUCCUGGAGAGAGGUGGAACAAGGCACCAUCAGAGCAGGGGGACUGGGGACAGUGCUGUUUGUGGAGCUGAGUGUCUCUGUUGGGACCUCAAGGGUGACUUGCUGGGACCAUGCCCUGGGUGAGGUGGGCAGGAAGAAGACCAGGAGGUAGAAGGCACCAAGGAGGGCCCUCUGCCUCUGUAACUAGAUGCUUUUAAAAAGCAGCAAAAAAACCCCAACCCUGAGAUAGGCAGGAUCCCUCCACCUGGAGGGCAAUGGCAGAGUAGAUGGCAAAGCACAGGAGCUGGGUCCAUCCCUGCCUGAGAUGGCCUUGCAGGAAAAGGGCAGCAGGUUUGUCACUCACCGCAGGC
Passer domesticus (house sparrow) is the source of this 1612-nucleotide long non-coding RNA. RefSeq lists it as uncharacterized. The transcript is spliced from 3 exons. Lineage: Eukaryota; Metazoa; Chordata; Aves; Passeriformes; Passeridae. The record is from RefSeq and is a predicted model, not a curated record.